Long non-coding RNA from Xenia sp. Carnegie-2017, 402 nucleotides. RefSeq lists it as uncharacterized. The record is from RefSeq and is a predicted model, not a curated record. NCBI's taxonomy places the organism in Eukaryota, Metazoa, Cnidaria, Anthozoa, Malacalcyonacea, Xeniidae. The transcript is spliced from 2 exons.
AACUGGAGUGAUUUUGCUGAAGGACGCACAAUUUCCAUAAGAGAACUAAAGGACGACAGCUCACCAAUAUACCGUGAAGUUUGGUUCUACAUCAUUCUCAUGUUGAUUUUUCUCAACAUGUAUUAAUCAUGCAAUCUAAUGACAGAUAUUUAUUAACAUAAUUAAUCAAUUAUCAUGAAAAUGUACAACAAUAAACAAAUUAUAAUUGUAAUACACAAACAAUCCAUCUCUACCACAUAAGGCAGAAAAAACACUCUAAGUCACAGAGUUAUAUUUCUGGACCUUGUUGUAUAUUAAUCUACUGUACAAGCAUCUAACGCUAAACGUAUUAACUAAUACAUAAACUUAUCAUAUGAGCAUCUCUAAAUUAAAUGUAAAUUCAAUAAUAAAAACACAAGAUUA